Molecule: transfer RNA, 57 nt
Filed under: Perinereis nuntia
Lineage: Eukaryota; Metazoa; Annelida; Polychaeta; Phyllodocida; Nereididae
Description: tRNA-Phe
Source: RNAcentral
GCCUGAGUAGCUUAAGCCUAAAGCAUUACAUUGAAGCUGUAAAAAUGAUUACAUAUC